This 482-nucleotide ribosomal RNA is filed under the name uncultured bacterium. RNAcentral's name for it is "partial 16S ribosomal RNA". It matches the Rfam family "Bacterial small subunit ribosomal RNA", at positions 30 to 507 of the family's 1533-position model. The record is from RNAcentral.
AUUGAACGCUGGCGGCAUGCCUUACACAUGCAAGUCGAACGGUAACAGGUCUUCGGAUGCUGACGAGUGGCGCACGGGUGAGUAAUACAUCGGAACGUGCCCAGACGUGGGGGAUAACGAGGCGAAAGCUUUGCUAAUACCGCAUACGAUCUAAGGAUGAAAGCAGGGGACCGCAAGGCCUUGUGCGUUUGGAGCGGCCGAUGGCAGAUUAGGUAGUUGGUGGGAUAAAAGCUUACCAAGCCGACGAUCUGUAGCUGGUCUGAGAGGACGACCAGCCACACUGGGACUGAGACACGGCCCAGACCCCUACGGGAGGCAGCAGUGGGGAAUUUUGGACAAUGGGCGAAAGCCUGAUCCAGCAAUGCCGCGUGCAGGAUGAAGGCCUUCGGGUUGUAAACUGCUUUUGUACGGAACGAAAAGGCUCUGGCUAAUACCUGGGGCACAUGACGGUACCGUAAGAAUAAGCACCGGCUAACUACGUG